UACGGAGGGGGUUAGCGUUGUUCGGAAUUACUGGGCGUAAAGCGCGCGUAGGCGGUUUCUUAAGUCUGGGGUGAAAGGUUCAACGCUCAACCUUGGAACUGCCUUCAAAACUCCCAGUCUUGAGUUCGAGAGAGGUGAGUGGAAUUCCGAGUGUAGAGGUGAAAUUCGUAGAUAUUCGGAGGAACACCAGUGGCGAAGGCGGCUCACUGGCUCGAUACUGACGCUGAGGUGCGAAAGCGUGGGGAGCAAACAGG
RNAcentral lists this ribosomal RNA (254 nucleotides) under uncultured bacterium. Its description in RNAcentral is "partial 16S ribosomal RNA". It matches the Rfam family "Bacterial small subunit ribosomal RNA", at positions 524 to 776 of the family's 1533-position model. The record is from RNAcentral.